RNAcentral lists this unclassified non-coding RNA (426 nucleotides) under uncultured fungus. Its description in RNAcentral is "partial contains ITS1, 5.8S rRNA and ITS2". The record is from RNAcentral. Lineage: Eukaryota; Fungi.
AACGCAAAUUGCGCCCGAGGUUUCGGCCGAGGGCAUGUCUGCUUGAGCGCCGCUGGACCCCCCUCGCCCACCCCGUCCCUUUUUUUUCAAAAGGGUCGGGCGGCGGAUGAUGGCCGCCUCGAAACAUGGGCGAGGCGUCGUCGCACUUUGUGCGGCGCGCUUCGCUCUCGAGCCGGCUGGAAUUCAUAGGCUCGCCCCCGGUUUGCACAUGGCACCCGGCGUGGACGACGCGUUCCCCCUGUGGAUGCGCCUCUGCUCGGAAUUGUCUGUGCGUGUUAGGUUUUUUUAAAACCACCGUGAGCGUGUCUUUGUCGUGCUCGGCAGUCGUCGUUUGAGGGCUCUUGCUUUCGAACGCGCCUCCGGUGUCACAGGAACUAUGUUCCCUACCUUGGCCUCAAGUCAGGCAGGAUUACCCGCUGAAUUUAA